AGGGUUUGAUCAUGGCUCAGGAUGAACGCUGGCGGUAUGCUUAACACAUGCAAGUCGAACGAAAGUUUUUAACUUUAGUGGCGAACGGGUGCGUAAUACGUGAGAAUCUGCCCUUAGGAGGAGUAUAACUGCUGGAAACGGCUGCUAACACUCCAUAUGUCGAGAGAUGAAAUAAUUUAUUGCCUAAGGAUGAGCUCGCGCCUGAUUAGCUAGUUGGUGAGGUAAUGGCUCACCAAGGCCACGAUCAGUAGCUGGUUUGAGAGAACGAUCAGCCACACUGGGACUGAGACACGGCCCAGACUCCUCCGGGAGGCAGCAGUGAGGAAUUUUCCGCAAUGGGCGAAAGCCUGACGGAGCAAUACCGCGUGAGGGAUGAAGGAUUUUGGUCUGUAAACCUCUUUUCUCAAGAAAGAAGUUCUGACGGUACUUGAGGAAUAAGCAUCGGCUAACUCCGUGCCAGCAGCCGCGGUAAUACGGGGGAUGCAAGCGUUAUCCGGAAUCAUUGGGCGUAAAGCGCCUGUAGGUUGUUUAAUAAGUCUGUUGUUAAAGACUAGGGCUUAACCCUAGAAAAGCAAUGGAAACUACUAGACUAGAGUAUGGCAGGGGUAGAGGGAAUUUCUAGUGUAGCGGUGAAAUGCGUAGAUAUUAGAAAGAACACCGGUGGCGAAAGCGCUCUACUGGACCAUUACUGACACUCAGAGGCGAAAGCUAGGGUAGCAAAAGGGAUUAGAUACCCCUGUAGUCCUAGCCGUAAACGAUGGAUACUAGAUGUUGUGCAUAAUGUACAGUAUCGU
Molecule: ribosomal RNA, 794 nt
Filed under: uncultured cyanobacterium
Lineage: Bacteria; Bacillati; Cyanobacteriota
Description: bacterial SSU rRNA
Rfam family: Bacterial small subunit ribosomal RNA
Source: RNAcentral